AAGGACCCAGACGCCAGAGCAUGGGAAUGCUGCUAAUCUGAGUCGGCGAGCUAACUGCUAAUUCUGUCGGAAGCUCGGCGCGCGGAAGAAGCGAUUGCGUGGCAAGAGGCAUAGCUGCGAGAGCCGGAACGUCGACGAGGAGGAUGAUGCACCCAUUCCAUCCAUUCAGGGGCUCUGGCAAAUCUGUGGAGUAAAAAUGUGGAACGGCUGGCUGAUGGGAGUGAUACUUGUGUGUAGUAGGUUAUCCUCCCAUGGUGGAAAGCUGGAGGUGCAUAGAAACCCUUUUUUUUAGCAGUUUUAUGCAAGAUUGUCAAAAGCUGGUCUCUCUCUGAACUUCUCCCCUCCCCUCCAACUGCUGCUCUGCUCUGGUCUGGUCUCUUUAGAUUUGUUCUUUUUGUUGUUGUCUUAACUGAAGGAAGAAGGUUUAAUUAGAAUGCAGGUCAAGGGAAAACUUUUGUGAUGUUGCUGCUCUUGCCUUCCUCUUUUCUUUCUUUCUGUGUUUCUUUCCUUUUUUUUCUCCAUGUGUUUUGUCAAUACUCAGAUCUGCUUGGAUUGUUUUAGAAACAAUUUGGGGCAGAGAGGGAAAUGUCUCUCAAGGAGUAGUAGUAGUAGUAUGUUGGAUUGUUUUAGAAGCAACAACUGGGGCUGAGGCAGAGAGGCAGAUAAGUAGUAGUAGUUGUUGCAUAGCAUAGCAUAGCAUAGCAUAUAGCAUGAGAAUGACCAUGACCUGGCUUUUGGGCGUGUGCGUUGUAAUUAGCUAGCUAGCCUUGUAGAAGAAAUGAAUCAAUCAAGGCGGUGGAAGUUGGAUGGGUGGAUAAUCUUGUUAAGAUAGCAAAGCAGAGCAAUCUGGCCUGUGUGAUGACUCGGCACUGCAGUGCUCACUCAUCCGAAAGUGCUACUCGGUCCGGCACGCCACUCUUCCACUCCGCCAUUUGUUAACUUGCCCGGGCGGACGGACGGACGCGUGCUGCCGCUAUCUUCUUCCUAAUCGUACCAAUCUUCUAUCUAUAUCUAUAUAUCUAUCUAUCCAUGACACUGGGGCUGGAUGAUGAAGAUCUCAUUCGCAUGGAUCUCUCUCCUCUCGGCCAUCACACGUGUCCGGCCUAACAGCAACCCGACGUGCAGGCUGAAAAGUAAAGUAUCAGGAAAAUUUUGCCUUGGCCGGGGGACAUCGCUUUCCUUUCCCUUGGCGCAAUGGCAUGGCGCUCCCUCCCUUUCCUGCCCGGAGUGGGUCUGCACGCAUGGAGCUUUUUGUCCAGAUGCACCGCUCCGGUUGUUGGUGACAUGUGAUUAAUCGCGUGCUGGAUUGUUUGUUUGGGUUAAACCUGGCUUGGGUGGCCUUCCUUUCUUUCCAGCACUCACUCAUGGCUCAUCCGUCCAUGGGAUGCCAUGUAGUAGGAGUGGGAGUACUGGUGGCAGUAUCUCGCCGCGAUAUCUUGUGCAUGCACACAUCAGGGGGCCCCAUGGCCUGUCAUUAUUGCCAAAAACUCUUGUCUUUGAUUGGGAUGGGGAGAGAGGAAUCUGGUGUCCCUGUCGCCGUCGUGACGUAGCACCGCCAGGCUGUUCUGCAAGUCGCCAGAGUUUACCGGCAACUGGAUUUGCCCACGCCGUUUGCACGCUCCGUGCGCCGUGCUCCGUAGGCCGCUCGCGCUCGCGCUGUGAGCCUUGGAGGGCGGCGGUGGAACUCCGGUGGGCGAAAACGGCGAAUGCUUGUCCGAUGAUCGCCGGGAUCUAUGGUUGAAGUAGGCAAAACGCGGGGAGAUGGAAAAAGAUAAAGGAUUAAGCGUCGCCGAGAAGUGUUUGAUAGCACAUGAGAAAACAAUGGAGAAGUGUUUGACAGCACAUGAGAAAACAGAGGAAUUCUACCGAGAGGUUUGAGUGCACUAAGAUUUCCUCCAAGGUAGAGCAUGAGCCUAGGGAUUUCAAUAAUGUGGAUCAAACGACCAAUGUAGGAAAGUUUUUAAAGGAUCCAAAUUCUCUCGGUAAAAUUCCUUUGAAUCAAAGGAGAUCUGAAGGAAAUAGAGGCGGUACGGUUCGCACAUGUCUGUUCAAGGAUAUUAGGGGAUCUAGACCUCUGGGACCAUGCCAAAUGAAAAGACUACCCGACUAAGAAAAAAUGCCACACAUCAAAGGGAACUACUAAUUGAGGAUAGAUGAGCAUCCCGACUCUUCCGGGAAGAAGAAAGGAACAACUAAAAAACUAACAAUCUCCUACAAUUUACAUAUAGAUGAGGUAUCACCGUCCUGUUAUCAGCCAUCAGACCAAUAUGGCAGAUCUUAGGAAAAUAGAGUGGGAGAGGAGACCCCAAGGUGUGAGAGGAUUCAGUGGUCCAAGAGGAUGUGUUGGAUGGGGUAUCCAACAAGAGGACUCAUAUGUAUGUGAAGAGUGACCCUCCACUGUGGCCAAACAUCGCUCCAACAUCAGCCACUCGAUCUCUAUUAUCGAUGCCCCGUCUAUUCUGUUCUACAAACCCUUCAACUCCCCGUCAUCCACCCUUCCCCUCCCAACCCCGCUUUCUGAGAACCUCAGUACAUAGGAGCUUUCAAUCGGAUCUAAGAUAUUCUUUUCACUUUCAACUCGCUUUCUAUAUAAACAGUAAACAUACCAACUUUAACCAAUAUUUCUUGCUUAGAUAUAGAACUUUGCUUUCGUCACUUACCUCAAAAUAACCUGAGGGUCAUGAAGAGGGAUCAUACCAUCGACGCUUAGAUCUAAAACUUUGAAUCCGUCAAUCACCUGGAAAUAACCCUCACGGCCAUGAAGAGGAAGGACACCAUCGAUCCUUCGAUAUAGAAUUUUGAAUGUGACAAUCACCUGGAAAUAACCCUCACGGUCAUGAAGAGGAAGGACACCAUCGAUGCUUAGAUAUAUAACUUUGAAUCUAGCAAUCACCUGGAAAUAACCCCCACUGCCAUGAAGAGGAAGAACAACAUUAUUGGAAAUUCAGUUAAUAGCUGUUUUGAAGAAAUCACUAAACUCUAAACUAUGAUGGUUAGAUCUAGACUCUGAAUCCUGCAAUCACCUGGAAAUAACCCUCGUUGUCAUGGAGAGGGAGGACACCACUGAUGCUUAGAUCUAGACUUUGAGUCCGNNNNNNNNNNNNNNNNNNNNNNNNNNNNNNNNNNNNNNNNNNNNNNNNNNNNNNNNNNNNNNNNNNNNNNNNNNNNNNNNNNNNNNNNNNNNNNNNNNNNNNNNNNNNNNNNNNNNNNNNNNNNNNNNNNNNNNNNNNNNNNNNNNNNNNNNNNNNNNNNNNNNNNNNNNNNNNNNNNNNNNNNNNNNNNNNNNNNNNNNNNNNNNNNNNNNNNNNNNNNNNNNNNNNNNNNNNNNNNNNNNNNNNNNNNNNNNNNNNNNNNNNNNNNNNNNNNNNNNNNNNNNNNNNNNNNNNNNNNNNNNNNNNNNNNNNNNNNNNNNNNNNNNNNNNNNNNNNNNNNNNNNNNNNNNNNNNNNNNNNNNNNNNNNNNNNNNNNNNNNNNNNNNNNNNNNNNNNNNNNNNNNNNNNNNNNNNNNNNNNNNNNNNNNNNNNNNNNNNNNNNNNNNNNNNNNNNNNNNNNNNNNNNNNNNNNNNNNNNNNNNNNNNNNNNNNNNNNNNNNNNNNNNNNNNNNNNNNNNNNNNNNNNNNNNNNNNNNNNNNNNNNNNNNNNNNNNNNNNNNNNNNNNNNNNNNNNNNNNNNNNNNNNNNNNNNNNNNNNNNNNNNNNNNNNNNNNNNNNNNNNNNNNNNNNNNNNNNNNNNNNNNNNNNNNNNNNNNNNNNNNNNNNNNNNNNNNNNNNNNNNNNNNNNNNNNNNNNNNNNNNNNNNNNNNNNNNNAUUAGCUAUUUUGAACAAAUCCCUAAACUCUAAACUACGAUGGUUAGAUCUAGAACAUUGAAUCUGACAAUCACAUGGAAAUAACUCUCACGGUCAUGAAGAGGGAGGACACCAUCGAUGCUUAGAUCUAGAACUUUGAAUCUGACAAUCACCUGGAAAUAACCCUCGCGGUCAUGAAGAUGGACGACACCAUCGAUUCUUAGAUCUAGAACUUUGAAGUCCUCAAUCAUAUAGAAACGACCCUCACGGUCAUGAAGAUGGAAGGCACCAUCGAUGGAGAUAAGACUCGCGGAGGAGGGGUAGAGAGGAAUAUCGAUGGAGUGACCACAACAUGGAAAGCACAACGAUGGUGGGCUUGGAAAUACAUGUUGUCAUCGCCGAUGAUGGGGGAGGGGAGGUGAUGCCCACGAUUUGGAAUAUGACCCGUGAAUUGGCAAUUGUGCUAGAGGGGCGAAUUGCAAUCUAGCUAACGGCAAGGUAGAAAUGGAAGCAGAUAAUGAUGUAUUUAGAAGGUAUUUAGUAUUUGCCGGGGAUAAGAAGAAACACGUGUGUGUACGGGGAGGUGGUAAUGGUUAAGAAAGGCAGUGGUCCCUACAAUUCGACAAAUGUACAAUGGAUGCUCGAUGUUCCAGUUUAUUAAGAAUUUACGUGCACGGGGCAAGGGAGCGAUGCAGACCAUUGGAUCUGGGUAAACUUUACAAUUUACAGUCUUUGUGUUUUAGAAGUGACGACACAAGAGUCUCCUUACAAGUUAAAAAACACACAUUGAUUUCUAGGACUAUACUAAAUAGACAUAUUGCAUUAUAUAUACCACCUAUGCAUAUCCCAUAGUUUAUAUAUUUUAUUUGAGUACAUUUUGUUGUCGUCUUAUAUUAGAAGCCUUCCAUGUAUGAUACACCUCGGGGAGUAGUGGAGUUUUGUUUGAAAGACCUUUUGAUAGGUGGGCUAGCCAAUAUCGAAACACCAAGCCAACACACACACAAAAUACACCUUGGUUGAAUAACUCGCGUUCCUCCCUCACAUUCACUACAUCCUUCUCUAGUUUCCAAAAUAUUGGAUCUUUAGCUCUAAGAUCACAAUAUUUCACUUUGCUAAUAGAAACUAAAUUAUGGUCAAUGCGAGGUGUACUAUGCUCUAGCAACUUCAUGUGAGGCAUAUUUGGGUUUAUGGAAACAACUUCCAACAUUGAAUGAAAAUUCUCAAACUUUGACCGAAAUGAAUCAAACAUAAAACUCAAAACUUCUAAACUUCUCUACUAAUAAAGAAUUAAAUUUAUCCCUUGUUGGACACUGAUGAGGUAGAUGGCAGCGACCAGUGGAUGAUAGCAUACAAAGUGGUAAUGAUAGAGACAUGUGGAAGCAGUGUGGCACUAUCUACUUCGUUGCACCCUUAUCGAUGACCUCGACGAAAGGGGGUUGUGCCGACCAGGUUGGGGAAUUGAUGCAAGUGACGAUGUAGAUGUAUUUUGAUGUUAGUUGUAGAGAGUAUAUAUGUGAUCGUGUGGGAGGAGGUAGAAAUGGAAUACUAUGGGGUGAAAUGAUUUUGAAACUUACUUACAUGUUUAUUGUGAAAUGGAGUAUUAUGGUGUGGGGAACAAUAUGAAAUGCGUUGGCUACCAAUUGCACAUGUGUUGUAGAAAUUAUUAUUUACGAGACCUUCAAAUGUUUAAGAUAUAGUUUCAUAAAUUUGAAAGUUCAUAUUUUACUGUUCAAAUUCAAAUCCCAAAGCAUAUUGUAUUGAGGGGGGGGGGUCAUUAGUAUGUAGUCUUGACAUGGAUUAGUAGGGUAUGUAUGGAGGCUUUACUUCUUGGGAGAGAAUUAAAUUUUAGUUUUUGUAAACCGGACCUUAACAGCCUUAGGGGUGUAAACACUAGAAUAAAAAAAGGCAUGGGUAUGAGGUCUUGAUUCUUACAACCAUAUAUUUGUGGUCAGGAUCAUCAUUAUAUUAACUUGUGCUCCGGAUAAUACCCAUUAAGAUGUGCUUGCAAUGUGAUGAAGUGGGGGAUGUGUCCAAAUUACGUCUUGACCGGUGCGCGACCUGCAUCAAGAGUUAGUAGUCCAACCACAUGCCCUUACUGUCUCAAGGUGUUACCUCAAUUAAUAAGAUUUUUUUAGACAAAAGCAUUGCGUAUUUAAUCACUACACAUCAUGAAUCACCAAUUGUUGGAUUUCUGCUACCACACUAAACCUUUCUGUCACAAGUGUUCAGAAUAGCAUUUUGCGUCCUCCUCGCUCCUUACCGCCUCCUUGAUCGAACUCUGAGAUCCUGGGAACAUGUAGGGUUGUAGAACAAGAAAGAGACAAGAGACACCUCCGUAGCAAUUGGACACAUACAUGACAUUAAUUAUUCAAAGUCAUUCCAAUUUACUCACACAUGACGAUCGAAUCACAAGAGGAAAUCAUCGGAUAAGACAUAAAGAUGAAUACUUUAUUGAUAAUAUGUCUGACAAUGGUUUCUGGAUUUGAUGUGUGAUUACAAGUACAACUAACUUGGAGGGGAGAUGUUGCGGUGAAGGCUAUGGUGGUGGCUAUGGAGAUAAGAUGGAAAAUGGUGGCGGCUAGGGUUUAUCAAUCCGCGAGAGGUGUAGGAUGAAGGUGGUUCUCUCUCAAACAACCCUGCAAUCAAAUACAAGUAAUCUCUUGUGUCCCCAACACACCCAAUAAAUUUUUCAGUUGUCUAGGUGCACUAGUUGGGCGAAGAGAUGGUGAUACAAGUGUAAUAUGGAUGGUAGAAAUAGCUUUUUAUAAUCCAAACAAUUAAUAAUAGCAAGGUAGCAAGUAAAAAAUAGUGUGUAAAAAUGGUGUAUCAAUGCUUGGAAACAAGGCCUAGUAUUCAUACUUUCACUAGUGUCAACUCUCAACAUCAUUAACAUAAUUCAACAUCAUGAUAACCCCUCGAAGUGCAGCAAAGAAUCACUCUAAAGUUCCAUUCUAUCAUAGAAAGUAGGAUGAAAUCCCGUAGGUAGCAAACCACCUCAAAGUUGUGUUUCCAAUCAAUCUAUUGAACCACCCCCAAAGUGUCAUGGCUAGCCCUAGAUAUUUUACUACAAUAACACCGUAUGAUACAUAUCGUUCAACUUUUAUGCUAAGAUUAUCCCAAUGUCAGCUCGGGUAUCCGCAAGUAAAUUACUAGACAUGCAUCAAGUGAUCUCAAAUCCAAAGUAUUCAAUCCAACAUAAACAAACCUCAAAGAGCAAGACCCAAUUCGCCACAAAAGGAUAGAGGGAGAUGAACAUCAUAAGAUCCAACUUUAUUAAUCAAGCUCAUGAUACAUCAAGAUCGAAUCCAUCAAGAACACGAGAGAUAGAGAGAGAGAGAGUGAUAAGUCUCCAACGUAUCUAUAAUUUAUGAAGUAUUCAUGCCAUGUUUACAAAAAAUUAUAUGGUUUUGGUAUGAUUUGAUUAGAACUAACCCGGACUAACGAUGUUUUCAACAGAACUACUGUGGUGUCAUUUUUUGUGCGGAAGUAAAAGUUCUCGGAAUGGGCUGAAAUUUUACGGUGAUUUUUAUGGACCAAAAGAGACCCUCGAAGCACCGGAGCUGGACCAGGAGGUGACCGAGGAGGCCACAAGCCAGGGGGCGCGCCUCCCGAGCUUGUGGGCCCCUCGGGCACCCCCUUGACGUGAGACCGACACCAAAAAUUCGUAUAAAUACCCAAACCCCCAGAAAGAACCCUAGAUGAGAAGUUCCGCCGCCGCAAGCCUCUGUAGCCAAUAAAAACCAAUCGGGACCCCGUUCCGGCACCCUCCAGAGGGGGAAAUCAUCACCGGAGGCCAUCUUCAUCAUCCCGGCGGCCACCAUGAUGAGGAGGGAGUAGUUCACCCUCGGGGCUGAGGGUAUGUACCAGUAGUUAUGUGUUUGAUCUCUCUCUCUCUCUCUCUCUCUCGUGUUCUUGAUUUGGCACGAUCUUGAUAUACUGCAAGCUUUGUUAAUAUAUUUGGAUCUUAUGGUGUUCUUCCCUCUCUACCUUCUUGUGAUGAAUAUAGUCUUGCUCUCUGAGGUUUCUUUAUGUUGGAUUAAAAAUUGGAUUUGAGAACACUUGAUGUAUGUCUUGCACACGAAUACCCAUGGUGACAAUGGGGUAUUAUAUUGAUUCACUUGAUGUAUGUUUUGGAUUCCCGAGGUGACAUUGGGGUAAUCUAUGCAUAGGGGUUGAUGCACAUUUUCGUCAUAUGUUCUCCGGUAGAAACUUUGGAGUGAUUCUUUGUUGCAUGCUGAGGGAUUGUUAUAUGAUCCAAUUAUGUUUUCAUUGUUGAGAGAUUUUGCACUAGUGAAAGUAUGAACCCUAGGCCUUGUUUCCAAGCAUGGCAAUACCGUUUUCGCUCACUUUUACUACUUGCUACCUUGCUGUUUUUAUAUUUUCAGAUUACAGAAACCUAUAUCUACUAUCCAUACUACACUUGUAUCACCAUCUCUUCGCCGAACUAGUGCACCUAUACAAUUUACCAUUGUAUUGGGUGUGUUAGGGACACAGGAGAUUUCUGGUAUUUGGUUGCAGGGUUGUUUGAGAGAGACCAUCCUCAUCCUAUGCCUCCCACGAAUUGAUAAACCUUAGGUCAUCCACUUGAGGGAAGUUUGCUACUGUCCUACAAACUCUGCGUUUGGAGGCCCAACACGAGUCUACAAGAACAAGUUGUGUCGUAGACAUCAGAGAGAGAAAGAAAGAGAGAGAGAGAGAGUGAUUGAACACAUAGCUACCAGUACAUACCGUCAGCCCCGAGGAUGUACUAUUCACACAUCACCAUGGAGUCCGCAAGGUUGAUGAAGAGGCCUCCGAGGAUGGGUUCCCCUUCCGGCAGAGUGCUGGAAGGGCCUCCAAUUAUCGAGAAACAGGAUUACAGGAACUUGCGACGGUGAAAACAUUGUUCUCAGGGUACAACGGAGAGUUUUGGUAUUUAUAGCGAAUUCUAGCAUUGGAAUCACAUCAAAAGGGUGCAGGGGGUCCCAGAAGCCCAGGUGCGUGGCCACCCCCCAAGACGCGCCACCUGGCCUUGUGGGCCCCUCGGGCCUCUUCUCAUUGACUUGUGAAGCUUCUAGUGCUCCAUUUGGCCCAUAAAAAAUGUGUUAAAUUCGCAUUUAAUUUUGACCCCCAUAGGUAUUGAUUUUCCAUGAAACCAAAAACAAGCAAAAACAGCAACUGACACUGGGCACUAAAUUAAUAAGUUAGCCCAUAAAAAUAAUAUAAAAAUGCACCAAAACCAUACAUAAAUGUUGUAAAUAUAUCAUGAAUAGUUCAUAAAUUAUAGAUACGUUGGAGACGUAUCAGCAUCCCCAAGGUUAAUUCCUGCACGUCCUCGAGUAGAUAAAUGAUAAAAGAAAUAAUUAUGAAGUGUGAAUGCUACUCCCUCCAUCCCAUAAUAUAAGAUGUUUUUGCAAGCUAUGUAGCUUGCAAAAAUGUCUUGUAUUGUGGGACGGAGGGAGUAGAAUAGAACAAAACUUUGAUCACAUGGGCAUUAUUUUACGAGUGCGGAGGAGCUUGGAUGACCAAGGUGCAUGUGCCAAAGAUGAACACCGGCUGAGAGUGCAACCAGUCCAGCGGUGGAAGAUGAUGAUGGCUGGACGGGAUAUAGAUCGCCGAGGCUGUCACAUUAGUGCAACACCAUCCGAGUGCGAGCUCCUUAAUAGAGAAACCAGGUUCGUCGAAUUCCACAAUUACGGGGUCACCACGAGUAAAAGAACGAACAAAGACUAAAUUUUGAUAAGUUGAGGUGAAAUGACAACAUUAUUAAGAGAUAAGGGUAUGAAGUUAGAAGGAAACAGAACGGAGCCGACAUGUGUGAUAGGGAGAGAGGAACCACCACCCACGAUGAUUCGUGAAGAGGUGGCAGUUGGUUAGGAAGAUGAAAGUUACCGGGGUUGUACGUCAUGUGAGUAGUCGCACCGGUGUCCAUGUACCAGUCGCCAUCAGCACCGUACGAGCCCGAAGGUGGGGCCGUCUAGAGCGCCAUCAGCACCGCGGGAUUCAACAGGGAUGGAGUCGGGUGACCCAACAAGACUAAGGUGUAGCUGUCGGGUCCUAUGGGUGCGCUGUAUUGCGACUACUGCGAUGCCGCAAAGGUCUGAUGGCCCGACAAACUGGGGCCAUGGAGACCAGGGCCAGCGCGCGUGGCACCCACAUAGAGUGUGCAUGGAUGCCCCCUGCCCAGGGGUUGUACCCACCACUCCAUGGUGGGGUGGGCUGCUGCUUUGGUUGCUGCACCGAACUGGGAGGGCCGAUGGCGUUGGCGCACUGCUAGCCCGUGCGCCCCCGCUUGUGUUGUCGGUUGCGGUCCGAUCCGGGGCCACAUGUGGCUGCAACGGAUAGGGGAACCAAGGACACCGGGAGCGCUGGGUAGCGUGGCGGAGGUGGCAUCAAUGAAGAAGUGGCCCACACGAAAUCCCAGUGGCAUGAGCAGCGACAGGAGGAGGGGGGACGACGAACAUAUUGUUGUGGGUACCGGAGAGGGAGGAGACAGGGGACUCCAUGCAAUUCAUGGUGGGGAGCGGAAGCUGCAUUGUUGGGUAGGGAUAGGGUUUUGGUGGUGGUGGCAGCUAGAGCUAGCGACGGCGGCGGCUAGAGAGGAUGGCAGUGACAGUGGCUAGGGCUAGCCGUGGUGGCAGCCAGAGAGGAUGACCGCGGCAACGGCUAGAGCUAGUGGCAAUGGUGACCAGUGAGGUCAACGGCGGCAGCGGCUACAGGGCAGAGUAUCUAUGAAUGAACUGGAACGAAAAGUGGUGGUGGCCGCCAGAGAGGAUGGCGGCGGCAGUGGCUACGGGGGAGAGUAGCUAUGAAUGAGAUGGAACAAAAAACGGUAGCAACUAUAGGGGGUGUAGCAGUGGUGGCGGUGGCUAGAGGUGCGGCGCGACUAGGGGAGAGGAUCGAGAGAAGGCUGAUACCAUGUAGAGAAAGUAUUUGGCACAUCACAAUUGUAUUCAUAUCAUGGGGUGCCCAUAAAUAACAUUUACAGGGGUAGUAUCAUCCACAACAAUGAUCCUAAUUACUGCGUAUAUACUUGGGGAACAAGAGGGACAACUACACCUAGUACAAGUACGAUAUAUGUAUGUAUGGGACAAACACAAAGUGUCUCUCAACACUUCCCAAAUGUCCUAGACUUGACGCUACUGCUCGCAUUUUUCUGGAUUUAUUUCCAGGCACUCCGGUGAUGCGUGAUACGUCCAUUUUGCAUCAUAUUUUCCUAUUGAUAUUUAUUGCAUUAUGGACUAUUAUUCGAGCGUUUCUGCUCCCGAGCUCAUCUGCACCCCCUUGACGAAAAAAAUCAAAACAAAUACCAAAAACAUUCAAAAAAAUUCCAAUUUUUUGUGUGGUAGAUAAGUUUAUGCGUGAGGUGCGCUCCAAUUUUCAACUCAUUUGGACAUCUGAGAAACUCUCAGCAAAAAAGACAAAUUCAGGGUGUGUAAAAAAGUUUACUGUUCACACAAUGUUUUGGCCUGAUUUUUUUUUGCUGAGAGCUGCUCGGAUGUCCAAAAAAGUUGAAAUUUGGAGCACACCUCACGCAUACAAUUGUCCAUCACACAUUUUUUUUUGAAAAUUUUUAGUAUUUUUUUUGAUUUUUUUCUGACCGGGUGCAGAUGAGCCUGGGCACCGAAUUGGGUUUUCGCUAGUAUUCCAUUUUAUGAUACAAUUCUUAUGCCUUUUAUCUCUUAUUUUGCAAGUUUUACAUGAAGAGGGAGAUUGCCGGCAACUGGAAUUCUGGACCGGAAAGGGCUAUAUCAGGGACACUUAUUCUACACGCCUCCAAAUGACCUAAAAUUGACGGAGAAUUAUUUUGGAAUAUAUAAAAAAUAUUGGUGAAAGAAUCAACAGAAGAGGGCCCACCAGGCAGCCACAAGCCUGGGGGGCACGCCCCUGGACUUGUGGGGCCCCUAGUAGGCCUCCGAAGCCCAUCUUCUGCUAUAAGGUGCUAUUUGACCUAGAAAAAAUCAGAAGGAAGGUUUCGGGACGAAGCGUCACCAUCUCAAGGCGGAACAUGGGCAGGAGCACUUUUGCUCUCCGGCGAAGCGAUUCUGCCAGGGAAACUUCCCUCCGGGAGGGGGACAUUGAAGCCAUCAUCAUCACCAAUGAUCCUCUCAUCAUGGGAGGACCAAUCUUCAUCAACAUCUUCACCAGCACCAUCUCAUCUCAAACCCUAGUUCAUCUCUUGUAUUCAAUCUUUGUCUAAACCUCAUAUUGGUACCUGUGGGUUGACAGUAGUGUUGAUUACAUCUCGUAGUUGAUGCUAGUUGGUUUAUUUGGUGGAAGAUUAUAUGUUCAAAUCCUUAAUAAUAUUCAAUACCCCUCUGAUCUUGAAAAUGAAUAUGGUUUGUGAGUAGUUACUUUUGUUCUUGAGGACAUGGGAGAAGUCUUGUCAUAAGCAAUCAUGUGAAUUUGGUAUUCGUUCAAUAUUUUGAUGAUAUGUAUGUUGUUGUUUCCCAUAGUGGUGUCAUGUGAACGUCGACUACAUGACACUUCACCAUACUUGGGACUAAGGGAAGGCAUUGUGGAGUAGUAAGUAGAUGAUGGGUUGCUAGUGUGACAAAAGUUUAAACCCUAGUUUAUGCAUUAUUCCGUAAGGGGCUGAUUUGGAUCCAUAUGUUUCAUGCUAUGGUUAGAUUUAUCUUAAUUCUUCUUUCAUAGUUGCGGUUGCUUGCAAGAGGGGGUAAUCAUAAGUGGGAGUCUUGUUCAAGUAAGAACAACACCCAAGCACCGGUCCAUCCACACAUUGGUACAGCGAGGUGCUAUACAAAUAGUUUUUAACCCCUUUCCGCGACGGUAUUUUGAACCGUCGCCAAGUGAGUGUGUGCGAUAGGGGGGUCCUUCCCACACGACCCAGAAACCGUCGGGAAUAAGGAGCCUUGAUGCAUACAGUUGUCCCUAUAAAACUGUUUCUGAUAUCUCGAACAUCCCAAAUGCUCCAUCCUUGCAACUCAUUUGUGCUCGCAUUUCCAUCCCAGUCGGUAUUCUGUGGUGCUACAUUUACGAUGCGCGACCCAUCACAAAUGGUUCACGAUUAUAGAACAUGUAUGAAAGUGCAACUAUCCCUGGGUGGUUUUGGGAAUUCCUAACAACAUAUAGCUCACUGAACUAAUGCUCUUUCAAGAUGAUCAUUUCAGAAAGUUCAAUGAUUGGCAUGGCAUGGACUAGGAAUGUGGAUCCCUCAAAAUGCUAUGUACACAUGUUGGCUCAAGCUCAAGACUCUACAUUUUCAUUUUAGUGAUCCAAGAUCACAUUGAGUCCAUAGGAAAAGCCAAUACUAUUAAAAGGGGAUGAGGUGUUGCUUAAUGGCUUGCUUGCUCAAAAUGCUUAGUGAUAUGCUCCAAAAGUCCUCAACAACUUUAUCAUAUCCACAUAUGUCCCAAACCAAAAGUCAAACUCGGCCCCACCGAUUUGAUCUAUCCGGUGCCACCGAGUUCAUUUGACAUAGCCGUAGCCAGAAACCCUAAUCAGUUCGGUCUCACCGAUAGGGAUCUCGGUCUCACCAGAUGGGAUUGCAAACUCUCUGUUUCCCUUCGUAACAUUUCGGUCUAACCGAGAUGAGCGAUCGGUCCCACCGAGUUCACAAUGCAAACUCUCUGUUUCCUUUUCGUAAUGUUUCGGUUUCACCGAAAUGAGCGAUCGGUCCCACCAAGUUUGCUUGACCAACUCUCUGUUUGCCUAUUACAGAAAUCGGUCUCACCGAGUUUAUGUGAUCGGUCUCACCGAGAUUACGUUAUGCCCUAACCCCAAUGAAAUCGGUCCCACGGAGUUGACAUGUCGGUCCCACCGAAAAGCCUAACGUUCACAUUUUGAACUAAAUCGGUCUGACCGAGUUUCAUGAUUUGGUCCCACCGAGUUUGGUGAAUUGUGUGUAACGGUUAGAUUUUGUGUGGAGGCUAUAUAUACCCCUCCACCCACUCUUCAUUCGUGGAGAGAGCCAUCAGAACGUGCCUACACUUCUAGCAUUCAUUUUCUGAGAGAGAACCACCUACUCAUCAGACCAAGAUAUUCCAAUCCAAUCACAAGAAUCUUGAUCUCUAGCCUUCCCCAAGUUGCUUUCCACUCAAAUCAUCUUUCCACCAAAUCCAAAUCUGUGUGAGAGAGUUGAGUGUUGGGGAGACUAUCAUUUGAAGCACAAGAGCAAGGAGUUCACCAUUAACACACCAUCUAUUACCUUUUGGAGAGUGGUGUCUCCUAGAUUGGUUGGGUGUCACUUGGGAGCCUCCAUCAAGAUUGUGGAGUUGAACCAAGGAGUUUGUACGGGCAAGGAGAUCGCCUAUUUCGUGAAGAUAUACGCUAAUGAGGCAAGUCGUUCAUGGGCGAUGGCCAUGGUGGGAUAGACAAGGUUGCUUCUUCGUGGACCCUUCGUGGGUGGAGCCCUCCGUGGACUCAGGCAGCCGUUACCCUUCGUGGGUUGAAGUCUCCAUCAACGUGGAUGUACGAUAGCACCACCUAUCGGAACCACGCCAAAAAUCUCUGUGUCUACAUUGCAUUUGCUCCCUCCAAACUCCUCCCCUUUACCUUCAUAUGCAAUGUUUUACAUUCCGCUGCCAUACUCUUAGAAUUGCAUGUGUAGGUUGAUUGCUUGAGUUGUGCUAAGUUGCUAAAAUCUGCCAAGACUUAAAAUUGGGAAAAGGCUAGAUUUUUAUUUGUUCAAGUAGUCUAAUCACCCCCUCUAGACACACUUUCGAUCCUACAAUUGGUAUCAGAGCUUUGGUCUCCUUUUUCCUUGAUUUCCAUCGCUUUGGUGAUCAUAGCCUUGGUUUCACAACCUAGGAGAGUAUGGCGUCUAGCGAGGGAAAUUACCACCGUAGAGGUCCUUACUUUGCUGGUACUAAUUUUGCUAGUUGGAAGCAUAAGAUGAAAAUGCAUAUUCUUGGACAUAACCCGACCAUUUGGGCUAUUGUGUGUAUUGGCUUGCCAGGUGAAUUCUUUGAUGGGAGAGAAUCGAACCGUGAAGCUACCGCGGAGGAGUUGAAGAUGCUGCAAUACAAUGCUCAAGCCUGCGAUAUCCUCUUCAAUGGAUUGUGCCCUGAAGAAUUCAACAAAAUCAGCCGUCUUGAGAAUGCAUAGGAAAUUUGGGAUACUUUGAUUGAUAUGCACGAAGGUACCGACUCCUCAAGGAAUCGAAAUUGGAUGUGCUUCAAAGUCAGCUUGACAAGUUCAAAAUGAAGGAUGGUGAAGGUGUCGCUGAAAUGUUCUCUAGGCUUGUUCUCAUCACAAAUGAGAUUGCCGGCUUAGGAAGUGAAGAUAUGACCAAUAGAUUCAUCAUCAAGAAGAUCCUAAGAGCCUUGGAUGAAAAAUAUGAUACCGUGUGCACAUUGAUCCAAAUGAUGCCCAAUUACAAAGAUCUCAAGCCAACGGAAGUCAUUGGAAGAAUUGUUGCUCAUGAGAUGUCACUCAAGGAUAAAGAAGAGCUUCACAACAAGUCAAGUGGUGCUUACAAAGCCUCAUGUGAUGCUCCUUCAUCAUCAAGUAAGAAACAAACCUUCAAUGAGGAAUUGAGCCUAAUGGUGAAGAACUUCAACAAGUUCUACAAGAGUAGAAGCAAGGAAAGGAGUUCCAAGUCAAGGUCCUACAAUGACAAAAGAUCUUCUAGUCGUGAGCGUAAUUUCUACAAUUGUGGAAGACCCGGACACUACUCCAAUGAGUGUAUGACUCCCUACAAAAGAAGAGAAGACUCACCUAAAAGGAUAAGUAGAAGAGAAGAAUCACCUCCAAGAGAGAGAAGGAGUAGAGAUGAUCGUUAUGAACGAAGAACCUCUCGCAGAAGUAAGGAUUCGGAAAGGAAGGACAAGUCAUCAAGGAGCUAUGCAAAACGAAGACAUCAAGCUCACGUUGGUGAAUGGCAUCCGGCUCCGACUCCGACCAUCACUCCGAGAGAAGUUAUCACUCUGACUCCGAAUAUACUCAAGAUGAAGGUGUUGCUGGCCUAGCACUUGUGUCAACCAACUCCUAUGACAUAUUAGACUCACCAAAUGAAGGACUUGGAAGAUGCUUCACGGCUAAAGGCCCAAAGGUAUCACACCCCGAGUAUGUUGAUUUCAGUAGUGAUACAGAUGAUUUGCUAGGUGAUGAUGAUUUACUUGUUGACAACUCUAGUGAUGAAAACUAUGAUGAACUUUCUAUUAAUCAUGCUAAUCAAGAUAAAAUGAAUGACGAUGAUAAGAAGGAGAUUGAGCGUCUAACUAAAGAACUAAACACUCUUAAGUUAGCUCAUGAAACUACCUUAGAAGAUCAUCGAGAGCUUUUAAAGACUUAUGAGAAGCUACGCUUUGAAAAGCUCAACCUUGAGGAAGAGCAUGGGUUCUUAAAAGCAAUCAAUGAUGAUCUUCGUAAGAAAAGUUCUUCUUACAUUGCCAAGCGUUUACUCUUGUCUACUUACAUGCCACAAGUAAAAUCUAGCAACAAGAGUAAGAAAGAUUCUUCUUCUAGUAGUAACAAUAAUCAUGUUAAAUCCAAUAUUGUUGCUUCUAGUAGUUCUCUUGAUUCCACUAAUGAUUCUCUUAGCCAAGUUACACUUGAGCAAGAAAAUAGCUUAUUGAAGGGAAUUAUAGAGAAAGGUGUUUACAAGAGCCUUGCCGGAAGUAAGCAAUUUGAGGAAAUUGUACGCAAGCAAGGAAGGCACCGGAAGAAUCAAGGUGUUGGUUUUGAACGAAAGUUCAAUGCCAAUGGAGUUGAGUGGGAAGAACAUCAAUACCCCAAGACGAAGUUUGUUCCUCAACAAGAGAAGUAUGAUCCUACUUCUUUCAAGGGGACACAAGCCCAAGAUGAUCUUCCACCACAAGACCACAAGCAAAAAGGCAAGGACAAGCUUCAAGAGGAGAUUGAUGCAUUUGAAGAAGCUCACAAGGCCUUGGUCAAGUGGGUUCCCAAGACUACAUCAAGUUCUACUUCAUCAAGUACGGCUACAACUCCAAGGAUUCCCAUCAAGAUGAUGUGUAUCCCUAAGAAGAAUAACUAGAGAGUUCUUGAGGGUGACUCCGCCAACAUACUUUACUCAUAUCAUUUUGGCAAGGACAAGUGCAAACAACUUCCACAUCUUGCACUAGUUCAAGAAGUCACAAACCCUCUUGUUGGUAAGACAAGGGACAAGGUAACCUAAAGCUUUCAUGGACAUCAUCCUAUGUGAACUUCACUCUAUGUCUAUGCAUAUCCUUAUUUGUUCCUUGUGGGACUAACCCGUGUAGGUAUUGAAAGUGCAACACACUCCAAUGGAUUGCUCCGAAUGAUCUACAUCAACAUUGAGCAUCCACAUCUUCAACAUCUACAUGAAGUCAUCAUCGACAAAACCCAAGGUUAGUUCAUCCCUCUUAGGGGGAAUAUCACAUCUAGGGGGAGUUUUACUCUAAAUAUUGAGCUAAAGCAACUCUAAUGGUGUGAACACAACAAUGCUUUAUGUAAAAGUGGUAACCCCACUUGUGCUUAAACGAUGAGUAUGACCUAUGAUCAAAUGUUCUCAUUUGACUCCUAAGUAAAUAUACUCAUAUAUAGAUGACCUAGUCAUUGCCAAUUGCUUGAUAGAUGCUAGAGUGUUUUUGCGUGCUUUGUCACAUAUUUCAUUUGCCAUUUUAUUGUGUGAGCAUGUUGAUUGCAUAUUUUUACUCAUUCGAGGACAUCCAUUUGUUGCUUUGAUUGUUUGGCUCUUCUUCUUUUGCCAAAUGGAUGGAAAAGAAUGCCUAAGAACUUCCUCUAGCUAUCUAUGUUUUUCUCGUCUCAAACUCUAUUCAUGCUACAUCACAAAGUAGUCAGAUUCGAACCCUCUGUGUGAGGAGCACUCGGAGUCACCGAUUCGUCAUAGACUUAAACUUCCAAAACCUCUCUGUGCAUUUCGGUCUGACCGAUUUCACUGAGUUGAUCUAGGUUUUCAAUCUCAGUGCAACCGAUUAGAACCUUUCGCUCACACCGAGUUGCAGUAACCGCUUGCGAUUCUGCAUCUCGGUGCCACCGAGUUGUUCCACUCGGUCACACCGACAGGGUCAGGAUAUAUAUACCGACGGAUCAAAAUUUGGAAAUUCCUCCAAAACCUCUUCGCCCGCGCAUGUCCUGCUCUGCCGUCUCAGGUCUCCGGAUCGUCCUCUCGUCGUCAGCGACCUCCCACCGCUAGUCUCCGUCGCCGUCAAUGGAAUUCUACACCGCCGUUGCCGCCGCAGCAAGCUCAUCACCGAACUAGGGUAUGAGUUCGAAUCUUUGUGCUGUCCUUAUCUCCGGUUCUUAGCACAAAGCAAAUGCCAUGUUUCUUACCACGUAUGAGAUCAUCCUAUCCAGCAAAAACUUCCUUUAGAUUAGAUUUGAUUCAAAAAUUUAGGGUUAGGUUUCCGCCGAACUCAUCUCGGACCGACCGAGUUGUGGAAAUCGGUCUCACCGAUUUGGCUUAGGCCAUUGCACUGGCACGUUUCGGUCUGACCGAAACUUGCAAAUCGGUGUGACCGAGUUCAACUCUCAGUGAAACCCUAGCAAUCUCGGAGUCACCGAACUGUGUCUCGGUCUGACCGAUUUCACUAGUUUAGACUCCAAAAGUUGCUUCGGUGUCACUGAGUUUAACAAAUCGGUAGCUCCGAAAUGCUUUCUGUGGAAAACUAAAACUAAGUUUUGACUCAUCUGUUUUGCAAAAUCUCUGCACUUUGUGAUGCUCAUCCACUCUAUCUCAUCUAUAACUAUUCACAGGGUCAACUGUCAGUUUGUAGUGCCAGAAUGUCUGAUCAGAGUGAUACCCAGAAUAAGUCUGAAGAGCAAGUGAAUCUGAGUGAGGGCACUAGUCCCUCUGGCAGUUAUGAUGAAGGCAGCAGAAGUACUCCUAGCAAUCUGCCUAAGGCUGAUACCAGGCAGAGGAGGAGGAGGAAUUCUGAGUCUGAAGAUGAAGACUAUGUAGCUACUGAGGAGGAGGUCAGCUCCAAGAAAAAGGUUGUCAAGAAAGAGUUUGGCACAGCUGCAUCUACAAAGCCUGGUAUGCAUAAGAAGGCUCCUGCAAAAAGAGUGCCCAUGUCUAAGGCUAGAGCCUCCACUCUUGAAACUUCCAAAUCAACUGGUGGAGAGGCUGCUGGUGAGGGCAAGAAGAAGAAGGAAAGGAAGAGAGGAAGAUGGUGCAAGAAAGUGGAUCCCAUGGCAGAAUUUGAGAAGCACUCCUCUAAUGAGGAUGAAGAGGAAAGGAAGAGGAUGCUACACCAGCACCGAAAGCUCAAAAGAUAAUGGGGGAUGCCAUCAAGUCUGGGGCUGCCCCUUCUAAGCCCAAGAAAGCCCCGAAGCUUCUGCUCCAGCUCUGAAGACUGCACCAAAGAGGAGCACAAGGAAUAUACCAGUUGCUGAGAAGAACAAGGCCCCAAUGCUUGAGACUGAAAUUGAAGAAGAAGAUGCUGAAGCCCAAGUGCUUAGGAAGCUCAAGACCAAGAUCCCUGACCAUGAUGACAAUCAUCCAGUGGUGGAAAAUAUGAAGAUCAGAAAGGAUGCAGGUCUCAGAUUAUGGAGAGAAUCUGAUCCAUAUGCUGUGAGGAGAAGGACUGCUGUGGAUUAUAGGUUUCACACCAAGGAGCAUCAGGAUUUCUAUGAAACUAUUCUGCUUGAUAAGAAGCCCAUAGUGUGUGAUAUGAAGUGGGCAGAUUGGAAAUAUAUUGACAACAAUGAAGACCAUUUUCUAGGAGUGCAUGAGAGCUUCAGGCUGUGUGGAGUAGAUGCUUUCGUGGGUCAGAAACUCACCAAGUGGAAUGAUGAACUUAUUAUGCAAUUCUACUCCACAACACAUUUCUAUCCUGAUGGCAGAAUUGUUUGGAUGUCUGAAGGUACUAGGUACCAAUCAACAGUUACUGAAUGGGCCAAACUAAUUAAUGCCCCUGAAGAGCAUGAGGAUCACAUAGGUGUCUAUGCCAAGAAGAAGAAGGAUCACAACUCCAUGGCUAACAUGUAUAAGGAAAUUCCUGACAAAGCCUUGGAAACUCACAAGAUGGGCUCUGUAUACUAUCUGUUGUCUGGUUUGACCACCAUCAACACUAUCUUGAGGCAUACCUUGUUGCCCAAAUCAGGAGAUCAUAGGAUGAUCAGAGGUCAUUCCAUAAACUUGCUGCAGUUGUCUGAUGUGCCCCAAAAGUUCAAAGUGAUGAGUCUGAUUGUUGAGACAAUCAAGAGGACAGCUGCAGAUCAGAAGAGAUCAUGUGGGUAUGCUCCACACAUCCAGAUGCUCAUCAACUCCAAGAUGGUCACAGGCACAUACUUAUUGGACAAGGGACAUCUUCCCUUGAGGCCUGAUUUUGAGGACAACACAGUUGUCAUGAAUGAGGAAGAUCCUACAUCUGUAGAGGCUCAAGAGAAGAGGGAUAAAGCUAAAGCUGAUAAAGCAACAAAGAUGCCAAGUGCUGAAGAGGCUUCUCAAGUGUUUCUCAAGUCAAAGCAAGAUCAACUUGGAUAUCUAAUUCAAGCCACCUUGAGGAUUUAGAAGGGAUUGGCCACCCUGACUCAGAACCAAGAAAGCCUGGAGAGGAUCAUUGAAACAAAAUUCUAUGAUCUAGACUUGAAGGUGACAGAGAUGCAGACAACAGUUGAGAAGCUUCAGGAAGAAGCUGAAGAGAGGAAAGGGCAGGCUACUACAGAUGCAUUUCAGAGAGUGCCUAGGGCACAAAGAUCUGCUACAGUGCCAGUGACUGACACAAGAGCUACUACAUCAGCACCUGUAGCCACAUCAUCAGUAGCACCUCUAGUUGCCACUCCACGAGCUCCAACAACUUCAACAGAUGCAUUCGUCCUUGGAGUCCUCUCAACGCCGCCUCCCAAAGAUCAAGCCUAGAGAGACGCAUAGCACUAUGCAUUUUCGAGCUUUUUGGUAACUUGUUGCCAAAGGGGGAGAAAGUGUAUAGAUCAUAGGCUUCGAUAGAGAGUGCUUUGCUUCUUUUUGCUAUCUCUUUUGCUUCUUGGUCAAUACUUUUUGUGUGCUUGCUUGGAUGAUACUUUAUGUGUGUGUGAGAUACUUGUUUGAUCAUAUCACUUUAAUGCUUGUGCUUGAAUGAUGCUACUACUUAUCUCUCAUAUAUGAUCAUUCACUUUGUCUUGGUGAUGAGUGCAUAUUUUACUUUCUAUCAUUUUGAGUGCUCCACCAAGAUGUAUGUGACAUGGAAGAGUAACCCAUGAUUCUAAUCGAUUGUGCAUUUGCAUUCAAAAGCAAAUUUUUAAAUAAUGCACAAAUUUAGGGCGAGCUCUUGCUUAUCACAUACUUCUCAAAGCGACGAUGUAUUUCAAUCUUAUUAUCAUUUGUCAAAGCUUUGAUCUAUAUGUUGUCAUCAAUUACCAAAAAGGGGGAGAUUGAAAGUGCAACUAUCCCUGGGUGGUUUUGGUAAUUCCUAACAACAUAUAGCUCAUUGAACUAAUGCUCUUUCAAGAUGAUCAUUUCAGAAAGUUCAAUGAUUGGCAUGGCAUGGACUAGGAAUGUGGACCCCUCAAAAUGCUAUGGACACAUGUUGGCUCAAGCUCAAGACUCUACAUUUUCAUUUCAGUGAUCCAAGAUCACAUUGAGUCCAUAGGAAAAGCAAAUGCUAUUAAAAGGGGAUGAGGUGUUGCUUAAUGGCUUGCUUGCUCAAAAUGCUUAGUGAUAUGCUCCAAAAGCCCUGAACCACUUUGUCAUAUCCACAUAUGUCCCAAACCAAAAGUCAAACUCGGCCCCACCGAUUUGAUCUAUCCGGCACCACCGAGUUCAUUUGACAUAGCCGUAGCCAGAAACCCUAAUUAGUUCGGUCUCACCGAUAGGGAUCUCGGUCUCACCGAGAUGCGAUUGCAAACUCUCUGUUUCCUUUCGUAAAGUUUUGGUCUAACCGAGAUGAGCGAUCGGUCCCACCGAGUUCGCAAUGCAAACUCUCCGUUUCCUUUUCGUAACGUUUUGGUCACACCGAAAUGAGCGAUCGGUCCCACCGAGUUUGCAUGGCCAACUCUCUGUUUGCCUAUUACAGAAAUCGGUCUCACCGAGUUUAUGUGAUCGGUCUCACCGAGAUUAUGUUAUGCCCUAACCCUAAUGAAGUCGGUCCCACUGAGUUGACAUGUCCGUCCCACCGAAAAGCCUAACGUUCACAUUUUGAACUAAAUCGGUCUGACCGAGUUUCAUGAUUCGGUCCCACUGAGUUUGGUGAAUUGUGUGUAGCGGUUAGAUUUUGUGUGGAGGCUUUAUAUACCCCUCCACCCACUCUUCAUUCAUGGAGAGAGCCAUCAGAACGUGCCUACACUUCCAGCAUUCAUUUUCUGAGAGAGAACCACCUACUCAUGUGUUGAGACCAAGAUAUUCCAAUCCAACCACAAGAAUCUUGAUCUCUAGCCUUCCUCAAGUUGCUUUCCACUCAAAUCAUCUUUCCACAAAAUCCAAAUAUGUGAGAGAGAGAGUUGAGUGUUGGGGAGACUAUCAUUUGAAGCACAAGAGCAAGGAGUUCAUCAUCAACACACCAUCUAUUACCUUUUGGAGAGUGGUGUCUCCUAGAUUGGUUAGGUGUCACUUGGGAGCGCCUCUAUCAAGAUUGUGGAGUUGAACCAAGGAGUUUGUACGGGCAAGGAGAUCGCCUACUUCGUGAAGAUCUACCCUACUGUGGCAAGUCCUUCAUGGGCGAUGGCCAUGGUGGGAUAGACAAAGUUGCUUCUUUGUGGACCCUUCAUGGGUGGAGCCCUCCGUGGACUCGCGCAACCAUUACCCUUUGUGGGUUGAAGUCUCCAUCAACGUGGAUGUACGAUAGCACCACCUAUCGGAACCACGCCAGAAAUCUCCGUGUCUAUAUCGCGUUUGCUCCCUCCAAACUCCUCCCCUUUACCUUCAUAUGCAAUGUUUUACAUUCCAUUUCUAUACUCUUAGAAUUGCAUGUGUAGGUUGAUUGCUUGACUUGUGCUAAGUUGCUAAAAUCUGCCAAGACUUAAAAUUGGGAAAAGGCUAGAUUUUAUUUGGUCAAGUAGUCUAAUCACCCCCCUCUAGACAUACUUUCGAUCCUGCAAUGUAUGAUAAGCAGACAAUCACACGCAUUCACUUUUCACGAACCGUAUGCGAUAACUAAUUAAGAAGAUUAGCUAAUCAUCAUAUGAGUGUCGGAUAGGAUUACGAAACAUCGAACCGUCGUAAUAUAGCCGUACAUGAUAACUAUCGCACACGCUAUUCUGUGGUGUAACGUUUACGAUGCGUACCACAUUAGAAACAGUUCAUGGUUGCAAAUCGUGUACGAUAAGGCAACUAUCACAAACGUUUAAUUUGCCCACACCUUUUGUGAUAUUGUCUGAGAUCGCAUACUCUUUGCAAACAACAACUGUGUGCAUGCUUGCACAUGUUUCCUCUCUGUGAACCAUGUCAGAUUAUGGUGUAUAUCACAAACAUUUGUGUUUUACCGACCGUGUGCGCCGUAACGACCUGCAGAGCAUAAUUUCACCGCAAUUUAAUUAUUGCAAUUCCAAACUCUACCGGUUUUGAAUUUGAAAGUAUGCUAUAGCUUUAUUCGUAUCCAUCAGGUUCAAACAACCAAUGCAUAUGUUCAAGAAUUACAUAAGCACCAAAUAAAGAAUGAAGAAGCACAGUUGUAUACUUGUACUAUUAAAGACGGUAAAGAAAGAGGCGAAAUACAUUCUGGUUGCUGAACAAGGUGAAGCGGAAUGCCCAUAUUGUGCCCUCCUCCAUGCAGAAGGCACGCACGACUCUAGUCCAACCCCUUGUGAUGGCUGACCGCCCAUCCUUCACUGUCUUCAUGAACACAUCUAGAUAAUCAUCGUGCUCUAGUAGAAAUACUUUAACCUUUGCAUGCCCACCAAUCAUGUAGUUUGAGAGGUAACCUUGAGUAAACUGCUUUGGGAACCACUGCAAAGGAAAAAGAUUCAGACAUUGUCAUCUAACACAACUCAUUAUGGGCAGUAAAAAGAAGGCUGCAGAGUUCUUACUUACCAUCCUGCAGUUCGAUGUUGUCUUGGAUAAAGUGUAAACAAAUUGUUUAAUUGCCAUCUUUUGACCCAUUUUAAAAACAACCUUUAUCAGCUUCCUCACUUGACGCUGGUUCAUCAAUAUCUCAUUGCCCCAUAUGCAGAAAGGGUCGAAGCGCGGAUCUUUACCAAUGACAUAUGUACCUAAAAGCACCAAGUUAAUAUUAGAAGCUAAACAACAAUUGCACAACGAUGUAGUACAACACUCCUUCCGUCCCAUUAUAUAAUAUCUUAUAACAUCCAAUAUACUUACAUAUUGGAUAAAUUAACAUCUUAUAUUAUGGGUCAGAGGGAGUUUAUUGCAUUUUUACAAAUUAUCGUCUGAUUAACUACUGCUGUGGCCCUGUUUGGAUCCAUGAGUUAGAGUUAGUUUGAGCUAGUUUGGGAUCAAAUAGCCCUAAAGUAUAUCUGAACAUGAGGGCUAGUUUGAGCUAGUUGCAUCUAACCCACCCCAAAAAACUGCCCCACCCAAGAGGUGCUAAUUGGAGCUAGUUCUCCUAGUGUAUUUAUUGUCAAUCUAACCCUAUCAUCCAAACACCUCUUCGGCUAGAGUUAGUUCAGGGUUAGUCAUGAGCUAGAAACUAAGUCUAACCUCUAGCUAAGUUAGAGUAUCCAAAUAGGGUUGUUGUUGUUGGUGCUUUUCUACGUAUAUCUAGACAUCAUCAGAAAAUUAAGGUAACACUCUUCCUUGUUGCUUUGUAGCCUAGGAUUACAUAUUUAGACAUUCAGUAUGGUGCAUGUUGAUAUGUACCCUCAGAUAUAUUACAUAUGGCCCUAGUUAACCUAACAAUAAAUGGGUUAUAGAUAUAUUCAGUUAAAAGUCCGAUUCACCGAUUAGUCUCUUAUCAUCCCCCAGCCUAUAUGGUGGUACCAGCUAUCGAUAUCCUGAACAGUGAGUAUAUAUAAGCCAUGUGAUGAAACUAACCUCGAUGGAAAACAAUAGUCGUUCCCAAAAUUGUCCUGUGUAAGUACAUCGAGAGGCAUGUUAAGCACAAUAGGCUAAACAUCAACCAAAUAUAUCCAUGGCAGACAAAAUAAUCUCCAAAAGAUAGCUUCAGUGUGCAGGUUUAAGCACGCUAGUAAAGCAAAACACGUGGAAAUGUGUGUUAACUGCAACAGGCCUAACAUUUAGCAACAAGCAAACAUAGUCAUUCAAGCUGGUAUUGUGCCGCUCUAAUUAUAUUGGUUAUUGUUAAAUAAAAAUGGAAAGGUGUGUUAACUACAACAUGCAGCAACCAAAUGUAGUCAUUCAUAGUGGUAUUGAUGAAAUUGAACAACACAGUUCAUACUUGCACAUAUAGAACAUCACGUUGUGAAUAACUGGAAUAAACAAGCCAUACUACGAACAACCAAAGAUAGCAUUUGAAACUGGACAUAUGCUAACUACAAACAACCGAACAACCAAAAAACUUUAAAAGAGGCAUAUGCUAGCUAUAAUAGGCUUAACAUCAAGCAAAUAUAUGCAUUCCUAUCGGUAUGUUUAAAACUGGUAUUGAUGAAAUUGUACUGCACAGUAAAUAGUUGCACAUAUAGAGCAUCACAUUGUGAACAAUUGAAAUAAACAAGGCAUACUACAAAAAACCAAAUAUAGCAAUUAAAAAUGAACAUAUUCUCACUACAGUACAAAAGGGACUCGACAAAACAAAUCAUGGGUUCGCCCCUGUGAAGAGGCACAACAAAAAAAUCAUAGGUUUCCACACUUGUACAGAUGGGCUCAUUCCCGUGGGAAGAGCACGGACCCUGCGUGCGCUCCAUGUUGUCACAGAUGGGCUCCUUCCCCUUGGAAGAGCACGACUGUAGGGUGCCCUCCCUGAUGUCGCAGAUGGGCUCUUUCCCCUUGGAAGAGCAGAUGAGUUGUUUCCCCUUGGAAGAGCCGGAGAGGGCGCCCUCCUCGUGGUCGCCGUCGAUGAGGUCUGACUUGGAAGCUGUGGAUCCCAAGCCAGCAUCACAGAACGUGUCCUUCAGAAAUGAGAAAAGGGGCUCGAUGGCGAUGUAGGAUGGCAUAUUCUUGACAGCGAGCGAGAAGAGAUCAGUGGCGGGGCCAUGGAUGAGAUCGACGGCGGUUGAACCCAAGGGGUUGGGGGUGGGCCACUUAACCUGUGACAUAGCCCGUGUCAGGCCGUCCCUUUCGACGACCUCGAUGUCGUAGCCGGCGUCUGCGACAUACCCGCAUAGUCUAGCCCGCUGAUUGAGUGCCUGCAGCCAGUAAUGGUCGUCAACUUCCACGGCGGCCACCUCGGCGACGUUGUCGAAGAGGCUGCGAUACACCUCUUUUGGGCCAGUCUCUCCUCAAGCUCCACGGGAAGCGUAGCCGAGCUUAGGUUGCGAUGCUCUGGAGUGGGGGAUGGGGAUGGGGAUGGGGAUCUGUGGGAAAUGGGGCAUUUGGCAGGCGUCAUCUAAGAAACUCAAGGCGGCCUGGGUAUGGAGAUCAGUGGGUAAGCUGCACGGGCAAACCAGCAGAUGUUGACAAUGGAGGCCUUGCGGCGGCGGCGGUGACCUUGCUAGGGUGUCAAGCGAGGGAGGAGUUGUGGUGUGUGUGUGUGUGUGUGUAUACGCGCGCGCGUGCACCCGAGGAGUUUUUGGGGUGUGUGUGUGGAGGGGGGUGUUUGAGGAAAUGACGCGGCUACUGAAAAUUUUACUACGCGGGAGUAAAAUGCCGGGGCUAUUGAAAAUUUGGAUGAUGGUGCACCGCACACGGUCCGGAAAUAACUACCGUGUGUUAUGAAACAGGAAAACCCUCGAGCCGGGCAGAUAUUUUCGAGGGAUGCAGGCGGGAGUGGGAACAAAAAACAUCACACACGGUCGAAACAUAAUAAUCGUUUGUUAUCAAACGGAAAAAACCUGUAGGCGGGUAGAUAUUUUUGAGAGGGAAAGCCUCGUGGAGCCCAAUGUAUUGUGCUGAUGUGCGUGACAGGGGAACCAACGUGGCACACGGUUAGUGUGAGUGAACCGUGUUUGUUGCAUCAUCCGACUCGUCUAAUGUUCAUAAAUUUGGUGAAAAUGACGCGGGAAAAGGGUCAGAACACGAACACACAUGCAUGUGGACCAAAUAUAUGUAUGAAAAGGGUGGUUUGAUGUUCAAAUACCAAAUGCACAACUUCGAUGUGGCACCUAUCUCACAAAAGCACACAGUAUUGCUUGUCCACUCCCUUGUGUCGGCAGGUGGGAAUCCUAAGCUAUGAAUGCAUGCCCGCCCCCACGGAGGUCCACCUAGCAAAGUGCGAAGUAGCAGUCCCCCCAUCACACACACACACACACACACGCACGCACACACUUUCAGUAGGCGGGAGACGGCAUCUCACCAAGAUGUAUCGUAGAACGGACCAAGAAUAAUCCACCUUGGUCGUACAACCUCUCUCUUGUUGUUGGUCAAAGUGAUGGCUGUCCAUGUGACCCCAGAGAUGGGCUAGCUCGCCAAUAAUCACGCAAGUAGCUAGUCCUCGAAGACAACCACUGCGUGCAUGUGGCCCAAACAUAUGCAUGGAGUGCUGAUGUUUGAGUACACAAUGGAACAACUUUGCUGUGACAUCGUGCUUUGGAACCAGAAAUCCACACACGGAGCAAGGGUUAGUUGAUGACGCAUAUGUAUGUCACACCACACUUCGAGCCGAUGACGAGAAUUCAUGCAUGCAUGCAUAGUAUGCGCUCAAACUUAGGUCUGAACCUCACCAUGACCUACUACGAUAACACAAACCAAAGGAAGAAUCCACCAUCAUAACCUAUGUCGUUGUCGGUCAAAGUGAUCAUGGAUGUCCAUGCGGGCCCACGAAUAUAUAGGCUUGUCGUCGAUAACCACGCGAGGGAGUCUACCAUUCGAAGAUAACCACUAUAUGCAUAUGUAUGUAUGGAGGUGAUGCAUGCAUGCAUGUUUUAAUACCAUUCACAACAUUGAUGUGGCGCGUGAGUCUAAAAUCGUACACUCCCCACAUAGAGCGAGAUUGGUUCAUGACGUGUCGUGGUACGGGCCACUUUGACUCAACGAGAGGGAUUCAUGCAUACACAUGCAUGUGUGCUCAAACUAUAUCAUGUCAUCCCAGAGCAUGACCUAUAUACCGUAAUACAAACCAAAAAAUAAUCCCCUCCUAUGUCAAAUUAACCUCUCACUAGUACAGCGAGGUGCUAUACAAACGGUUUUUAACCCCUUUCCGUGACGGCAUUUGGAACCGUCGCCUAGUGAGUGUGGGCGAUAUGGGGGUCCUUCCCACACGACCCAGAAAUCGUCGGGGAUAUGCCCUCCUGGCACACACGCUUGGCAAAUGAGGUCGUGUGCGACCGGCGAGCGACCUAAUACCGUUAUACUUACAGUAGUGCAAAAAAAUACAAUUAUACAGGCGAAAUCAUUUCCGGUCGUAAGAAAAUCCCACAUGGUCAGUCCCCGCUAAACGUUUCCGUUCGUAUAUACAUCCCACACAGUUGUUCCAAGGAAAACGUUUCUGUUCGCAGGUACAUCACACACAAUUUUCUCCGUUAAAUCCUUUGUGAUAGCGUUUCCAUUGCACACGGUAUUAGCAAUUUUAUCAUUUGCGUUAUUGAAUGCAUCACACACGGUGCGUAGAAGAAACUGUGUGGCAAAGGCUGUCCAUCACACACAGUUAUGUGGUAAACGUUUGCGCCAGGUGGCCUAACGCAAACAGUUUUCAAGAGGAUGUCGUGUGUGAUUGUUCAUUAAUCUAACACGGUUUAUUCCUAGAAACUGUCCUGAGGUCAUUGCCCAUGGUGUUUUCUCAAUAACCGUUUGCAAUAGAAAACCCCAAUUAGUAGGCUAAUUAUCCUAUUAUUAAUAAUCCAUUUAUUAAUCUAAUUCACAUUUUCAUAUUAAGCACACAAUAUAUUUCAUUUUCAUGAUUGAAAUACAUUAGAGUACAACAUCAUAUAGCUUCAGCACUCAUCUACCCCAUUACACAACUGCACCAGCACCAAGUUUCACAUGCAACAUCUAUAACCUUUCGAAAUUAGCAUCAUAGACGGUACAUAGACAGAUGUAUCUCAUCUGGAAAACUGUUGAAGCAGAAGGCGAAUAUUGAGCCUUCAUUGAUGUUGAAGGUCUUUGCAACUUUAGGCCAAUGCCUGUGGAUGAUUGACCAUCCAUCCUUCGUCCUCUUCAGGAACACUUCAAUAUUGAACCGUGGGUGUUGUAUGAAUGCCUUCCUCGCCUCCUGACCAUACAGGUGGGUUGAGAAGUAAUCAUCAGUGAACUGCUUUGGAAAGGCUUGAAAACAAGGAUGUGAAUAAAUAUCUUCUCUAUAUUGGAAAUGGGGCAAAGAAAUAAGAAAGGCAAGGUAUAAUAGUUAGUACCAUCCUAUAGUGAACUAAUGUCUUCUUCAUUGUGCAGACAAGAUCUUGUUGUUUUUUGUCGCUAAUUUCUUUAUCCUAACAAUCUUUCUGAGUUUCUUGACUUGACUGAUAUUCAUGGACAACUCAUUUCCCCAUAUGCAAAAAGGGUUGAAAAGUGGGUCACAAGCUCUGACAGCAGGACCUACAUGUGCAAGACCAAAUUGUUAAAAACCUAAAUAUUAGAAUGGUUCCUGCAAUUGCACAAUAAUGUGCUAUUAGAGAAAGGACCAUGCAUGUGCAAAUCUCGAUUGUAAACCUCAGUGCUUCCCAUUGUUUCCCUGCAACACAUAUAAGGUAGUUAGUCAUCAGGUUAAGUGAGGGUUCGCAUGCUAUCAGUAAAAUAUGUUGAUGAAAAAUAAGCACAUUGCAGAUUCAUCAGAUUAAUUCAAGCCAUAUGGAAAACCCAUUUAUCCAAACCAAGCAUGAUUAAGAAGUAGGAAAUAUAGCACUUGUAUAUGUUUCUCAUGUAUUAAGUGCAGCCAAAUUCGAUUUAUUCCUCACAUGCACAACAAUACAAAAUUCUACCCAUGACAAUUGGACAUCGCAUUGCAGAAUUGAACCAAGCAGUUAACUAAACACCACAACAAAUGAACCAAACAUUAACUGAGCACCACAUUGCACAAUAUAACAUACUCCUAAUAGAAGAUCAGACAGUUAACAAAACUAAGCAUGCUUAACAACUUGGAAAUAUACAAAUUGUAUUUGUUGCUCAUGUAUUUAGUACAAGCCAAUUAAAUUUAUUCCUCACGUGGUAUACAAUAACAGAAUGCACCCACAACAAUUGAACAUUGCAUUGCAGAAUUGAACCAAAUAGUUAACUAAACACCACGACAAAUGAACCAAACUUAACUGAGCACCACAUUGCACAAUGUAUAACAUACUAGAAGAUCAGCCAGUUAACCAAACCAAGCAUGCUUGACAACUUGGAAAUAUAGCAAUUGUAUUUGUUUCUCAUGUAUUUUGUAAAAAAAAAUCAAUUUAUUUCUGACAUGGAAGACAAUACAAAUUUGCACCCUGAAGAAUUGAACAUCACAUUUGCAGAAUUGAACCAAACAGUUAACUGAACACGACAACUAAUUAACCAAAUAGUUAAAAGGGUGGGCUUGAGAAAACGCCACGAACUGUCAUUUAAAGCAGCCAACCGUGUCGCGUCGUCGGCGCACGAGGCGUCGAUGGUGGCCUCAACGGCGAGGUGGUCCUCCAAGAUCUGGGGGUCGGCACAAAUGGCAGCCAUCGUGACCUCAUCCGCGCGUGCGGCCGCGAUUUGCUUAUCCGCUGCCAAAUGCUCCUUGAGCUCCUGGCUAUACUGCGGGCACCAUGGCUUAGGGUAGCGCUUAUUUGGUGGAGGGGCCGGUGAUUUGGGUGGAAGGUGUCGCGCCGGCGGUCGGGGCAUGUGGGAUGUGGAAGGAGGAGGAGGAUGGGGCGUCGGGUGUGGAUUACCUGCCUGGAUAGACGAGGUCGAGCAACGUGAAGGAGGGUCGCCGGCGAGGAGGCGGCGCUGCAAGCAAGGAGUGAAGGUUUCAACUUGGAAAGGAAGGCAGAAAUAGGGGAAAUGUGGCUUUUGGUAAGGGGGAGGGGGCAGGGAGGUAGAUAUUUCCGCGGAAGCCGAAAAUUUGGAAUCGCUUCAGCGAAAAAGUUGGCGCGUAAAGUGUCAUCAGAUAGGUCCCUUAUUCAGAACUGUGUACGAUAUGUGAACAUCACAAACGAUUCAGAUAGCUUAACCCGUGUGUGAUGAGUUUGAACGUCAAAAAUUUUGGUUCGAAUUUCCCUGCUUAUAGUGGUCAUUCACGUCAUUGCAUAAUUUGGGUACACAAAGGAGACUACAGCACACCCACACUUCUUAAUCGAGCAAGUUCAGCAAUUAAACAAAGCUAGCUGACCUAAAGAUUACUCUAACAAAUUAAAGACCGACGCUCUUAAUUAAACAAAACAAAGAGUACUACUAUGGCUGGUGCUCGUCGAUCUCCGCCACCGCCUCCAUGUCCAGCUCGCGCCCGACGGUCUCCUGGGGAAGGGGCUCCAUGGCAUCCAUCGCACCAUACUCGACAAGCAUCUCGCCAUCCGCAUCCGCCAUCUCUUUGGAACAGUCCACCACGAGCUGGGCAUGGGCGGCCGCGAUCUGGGCUUUGGCAGGAUCCAUCGUGGCAAGGUAUGCCGCGCAGGAACGGAGGCUGCUCGAACGCUCUCGGCGAUUGCCAACUCUUCGGCCGUGGGUUGCCGACCGUUGUCGGAGAAGCUUCCUUCGAUUUGUGCGGUGACCGCCACGAGCUGGGCAUGGGUGGCCUCGACAUGGUCGUGGGCGUCCUCCAUCAGAGCUAAGGCCGCCGCUGCGGAACGGACAGCUAUUGUGCCGCUCUCGCCAGUUGCUAUCCCCCAGAUGUUGCUGCUGCCGCCUGAGAAUCAACAGCGGCCGUUUGGGCUGCCUUGGCCGCCCGGGCGCAGAUUGUGGUCGUCCUCAUGAAGCUUGUUAGCACGUGCCUCGCGGCUGCGGCCGCGCUCCCGCUGGAGUGGGCCGCCGAAGUUGCCCUCACGACGUGGGUCCACGUCCCCAUCUUUCACCGGCGAUGAUUGAAUAGUGAAAUGAUAUUUGGGGAGCAAGCUAGUGUGCUUGACACACCGGCUAUGGACUGUAGCCAUCGCACCCUUUCGCAUAAGCCGUAUGCAUACUAUACUCCGACGGUGCUCCAAGAUAUUUUGUGCUGCAUCUCACACGGUUGGUGAUAAUAAACUAUGUGCGAUCUACUUGAUUUUUUGCCUUGAUUUGAAUUACAUAAUGGGGUCACAGCUGCAAAGGAUGGUGUUUGAAUUGCUAGAACUUUUAUUUGAACUGAACGUGCAACUAUAGGUGUGUCGUCAAAAGAAUUGGAAUUAUUCAGGGUUCGUUUGGACGUUUUUACACAUUAACUUGGUUUUGUAGGCAUUUCAGGUGCAUAAUUCAAAUUUGAACUACACGAACAUGCUCCACUGCGUAUAAACAGGUUGAAAAAUCAAAUAUGUGUCCUUGGUUGCAUGCUUAGGUCCCAUGCAAGAAAUGGGAUUGAAUGUUAAACACCCUCCCACUGUCACUGGGCCGCAAACAUUGAGAUACUUGGUUUUUAAAUUCUAUUAAAUGCAAAACUCGUCUGAAAUUCAUGAAACUUGGCAUGCUAUCAUGGAGCGGCAUCAACAUGCCGUGGUAAAAUUUUCGUCCCAUUUGGGGCAGGUUUGGGUAUAAGCUUCUCACAAACCAGAGCUUCUCACAACAAGCAUGAUGGUUUCGGUAGGGAAUGUGCCACCUUUGGGUACGAAACGAUAACCCUUGCCUCUUAUUGCUUUCAAAAAUUUUCUAGUGUCAACAUAGAACAACAGGAGUGUUGUGUUAAAUUUUGGAAUUUUCGGGGUUCGUUUGGACAUUUUUAUACAUUAACUGGGUUUUCUAGGCAUUUUAUGUGCAUAAUACAAAGUUGAACUACAUGCACAUGCUCGAGUGCAUAUAAAUUGGUUGAAAAAACAAAUAUGUGUCCUUGGUUGCAUGCUUAGGCCCCAUGCAAGAAAUGGGAAUGAAUGUCAAACACCCUGCCACCGUCACUGGGCCGCAAACAUUGAGAUACCUGGUUUUUAAAUUCUAGUAAAUACAAAACUCGUCUGAAAUUCAUGAAACUUGACAUGCUAUCAUGGAGCGGCAUCAACAUGCCAUGGUAAAAAAUUUGUCCCAUUUGGGGCAGGUUUGGGUAUAAGCUUCUCACAAACCAGAGCUUCUCACAACAAGCGUGAUGGUUUCGGUAGGGAACGUGCCACCUUUGGGGACGAAACGAUAUCCGUUGCCUCUUAUUGCUUUCAAUUUUUUUCUAGUGUCAACAUAGAACAAGAUGAGUGUUGUGUUAAAUUAUGGAAUCUUUCAAGGUUCAUUUGGACAUUUUAAUACAUUAACUGGGUUUUCUAGGCAUUUUAUGUGCAUAAUUCAAAUUUGAUCUACAUGCACAUGCUCCGGUGCAUAUAAAUUGGUUGAAAAAUCAAAUCUGUGUCCUUGGUUGCAUGCUUAGGUCCCAUGCAAGAAAUGGGAAUGAAUGUCAAACACCCUCCCACUGUCACUCGGCCGCAAACAUUGAGAUACCUGGUUUUUAAAUUCUAUCCAAAACUCGUUUGAAAUUCAGGAAACUUGGCAUGCUAUCAUGGAGCGGCGUCAGCAUGCCGUGGUCAAAAUUUAUCCCAGUUGGGGCAGGUUUGGGUACAAGCUUCUCACAACAAGCGUGAUUGUUUCGGUAGGGAAUGUGCCACCUUUGGGGACGAAACGAUAUCCGUUGCCUCUUAUUGCUUUCAAAUUUUUUCUAGUGUCAACAUAGAAUAACAGGAGUGUUGUGUUAAAUUUUGGAAUUUUUCAGGGUUCGUUUGGACAUUUUUAUACAUUAACUGGGUUUUCUAGGCAGUUUAUGUGCAUAAUUCAAAUUUGAACUACAUGAACAUGCUCCAGUGGAUGGUUGAAAAAUCAAAUCUGUGUCCUUGGUUGCAUGCUUAGGUCCCAUGCAAGAAAUGAGAAUGAAUGUCAAACACCCUGCCACCGUCACUAGGCUGCAAACAUUGAGAUACGUGGUUUUCAAAUUCUAGUAAAUCCAAAACUUGUCUGAAAUUCAUGAAACUUGGCAUGCUAUCAUGGAGCGGCAUCAACAUGCCAUGGUAAAAAAUUGUCCCAGUUGGGGCAGGUUUGGGUAUAAGCUUCUCACAAACCAGAGCUUCUGACAACAAGCGUGAUGGUUUCGGUAGGGAACGUGCCACCUUUGGGGACGAAACAAUAUCCGUUGCAUCUUAUUGCUUUCAAAUUUUUUCUAGUGUCAACAUAGAACAACAAGAGUGUUGUGUUAAAUUUUGGAAUCUUUCGGGGUUCAUUUGGACAUUUUUAUACAUUAACUGGGUUUUCUAGGCAUUUUAUGUGCAUAAUUCAAAUUUGAACUACAUGCACAUGCUCCGGUGCAUAUAAAUUGGUUCAAAAAUCAAAUCUGUGUCCUUGGUUGCAUGCUUAGGUCCCAUGGACGAAAUGGGAAUGAAUGUCAAACACCCUGCCACCGUCACUCGGCCGCAAACAUUGAGAUACCUGAUUUUUAAGUUCUUGUAAAUCCAAAACUUGUGUGAAAUUCAUGAAACUUGGCAUGCUAUCAUGGAACGGCAUCAACAUGCUAUUGUAAAAAUUUGUCCUAGUUGCGAUAGGUUUGGGUACAAGCUUCUCACAAUAAGCGUGAUGGUUUCGGUAGGGAACAUGCCACCUUUUGGGGCGAAACGAUAUCUGUUGCCUCUUAUUGCUUUCAAAAAUUUUCUAGUGUCAACAUAGAACAACAGGAGUGUUGUGUUAAAUUUUGGAAUUUUUCGGGGUUCGUUUGGACAUUUUUAUAUGUUAACUGGGUUUUCUUGGCAUUUUAUGUGCAUAAUUCAAAUUUGAACUACAUGCACAUUCUCCAGUGCAUAUGAAUUAGUUGAAAAAUCAAAUCUGUGUCCUUGGGUGCAUGCUUAGGUCCCAUGCAAGAAAUGAGAAUGAAUUUCAAACACCAGGGCACUGUUGAUUGCCGGCAAAACGUUGAGAUACUUUGUUUUUAAGUUCUAGUAAAUCCAAAACUCGUCUGAAAUUCAAGAAACUUGGCAUCCUAUCAUGGAAUGGCACCCGACAUGUUGUGGUAUUUUUUGUGUCCAUUUUGAGAGAAGGCGCACUCGAAUAACAACCAACAAAGGCAUUUUGAAACAAAUAGCUGCCACUGUAACAUCUCAAAUGUUUUGUAUAAUUUAAAUUGUGUGUUCUGUUAACCAUUCACGUAACGUCAUGCCUCACUCUUUUAAUGGCUAGGAGGUGCCGUGCGGACUGGUGCUUGAGUGCUUGACUAAACGGGAGGCGUGCGAGCUGUACCCCAAUGUGGAGGUUCACCGGGAAGUGUGCGAGCUAUACACUGCGUAGGCUCACCGGGAAGCGAGCCCUUUGACUUCCAUGGCCGCCCUUCUUGCUCGCAUCCUCUCCAUUAAUGGCGCCCAAGCCGCAGUUUAAUACGGUUUUAAAUAUAAAACACUCAUCGCAAACGUUUUAGUUAUAACACCCGUAUGCAAACCGACAACUUCCCUAGGAAGGCAAGGGAAAAUGUGCCGAGCUGGAUUUGUGCAGCUCUUGAUCGCAAACGUUUUAGUUUGAACACCCAUAUGCAAACCGACAGCUUCCCCAAGAGGCGAAGAGAAAAUGUGUCAAGCAGGAUUUGUGCAGCUCUUGAUUGCAAACGUUUUAGAUAGAACACUCGUAUGCAAAGUGAGAGCAACGGUCUUCCCCCUUAUGUCGAGGGAAAAUUCGCAGCGUAGGAUUUGUGCAUCCCUUCAACGCAAACGGUUGUUUUGGAUGACCCGUGUGCAACCAUGUACAAACAAUUUCGUAAGAUUUGCAUCUAUCAUAUUGGGUAUGUUGCCAUUUGUCAAACUGGAAAGAUUGACAUUUGUUGAUCUAGUAACAUUGCCAUUUGUCAAUCCUUGUAACACUGCGAUUUGUCAAAAUAUGCAGCUAAAAAUCACUAGCACUAUCUAAUUUUUGCAACUAAAAUUCAGUAAUUAAGCAUAGAUUGCAUUCAUAGAUUGAGCAGUCGUUCUUAAUUUAUACAAACAGUUCAACUCGAUAGCUGAACGACCACACUUUUCCCCAAUUGUUGCCAACCACGUACUGAAAUAGCUAGUUCAACUAUAUAUACUAGCUAAUUUUAUGUACGUUGUACAGUUCCACCACAUCUAUAGUCAGAUGAACUGAACAAAAUAGCCCCUAAAUACUACUACUACUACUAUGGAGGGGCUUUGUGCUACUUCCGGCAGCCUCUCCCCUGCCAAGCGCGCUCAGUAAGAAGCAGAGGAGGAGGAGGAGCCUUCCGACGAGCUGGACAACUGCAAUACGGUACCUGCCGCUGCUGCACAUUCAGCAACGCUCGCCAGCUCAAACACGCACUGCGGCUCCAGACGACCCCUCUCGAAGCGGCUGAACCGCUCGUACAUCUCCUGAUUCCUCGCCUCUGCGUCGGCGUGUGCUGUGGCCACGGCUGCAGUAAGGCUCUUUGCGUGCUCGACGAGGCGCUCCUCCUCCUAGAUACUCCAAUGUCACCUCAAGUAUCCGUGGGUAUGAUUAUACGAUAUGCAUCACACAAUCUCAGAUUCAUCUAUUCAACCAACACAAAGAACUUCAAAGAGUGCCCCAAAGUUUCUACCGGAGAGUCAAGACGAAAACGUGUGCCAACCCCUAUGCAUAGGUUCAUGGGCGGAACCCACAAGUUGAUCACCAAAACAUACACCAAGUGGAUCACGUGAUAUCCCAUUGUCACCACAGAUAAGCACGGCAAGACAUACAUCAAGUGUUCUCAAAUCCUUAAAGACUCAAUCCGAUAAGAUAACUUCAAAGGGAAAACUCAAUCCAUUACAAGAGAGUAGAGGGGGAGAAACAUCAUAAGAUCCAACUAUAAUAGCAAAGCUCGCGAUACAUCAAGAUCGUACCACCUCAAGAACACAAGAGAGAGAGAUCAAACACAUAGCUACUGGUACAUACCCUCAGCCCCGAGGGUGAACUACUCCCUCCUCGUCAUGGAGAGCGCCGGGAUGAUGAAGAUGGCCACCGGUGAGGGAUCCCCCCUCCGGCAGGGUGCCGGAACAGGGUCCCGAUUGGUUUUUGGUGGCUGCAGAGGCUUGCGGCGGCAGAACUCCCGAUCUAUUCUGUUUCUCGAUGGUUUUAGGGUAUAUGGAUAUAUAUAGGCGAAAGAAAUACAUCAGGGGAGCCACGAGGGGCUCACGAGGGUGGAGGGCGCGCCCCCUGCCUCGUGCCUUCCUCGUUGCUUCCCUUACGUAUACUCCAAGUCUUCUGGAUUGCUUCCGUUCCAAAAAUAACUCUCCCGAAGGUUUCAUUCCGUUUGGACUCCGUUUGAUAUUCCUUUUCUGCGAAACACUGAAACAAGGGAAAAACAGAAACUGGCACUGGGCUCUGGGUUAAUAGGUCUGUCCCAAAAAUAAUAUAAAAGUGUUUAAAAAAGCCCAUAAACAUCCAAAACAGAUAUUAUAAUAGCAUAGAACAAUCAAAAAUUAUAGAUACAUUGGAGACAUAUCAGCCGACAGUGGGGUGGCGGCCACGACGGCCACCUCCCGCCUUCGGGCCAUGGCUGUGGAGUGGGCGAUGGCCCUGGCUUUCGAUGGUGCUGUGGUGGCAACGGCGACCGGCAACAGCUGCCGACGGGUACCGGCGGCGGAGCGUGUGGUGGGUGUUCCGCGCACACCCAACUGGGAUGCCACGCGCACUACACUACGCUGGGGACUGUGCCGCCGCCGCGGUGUAGCUUCCCAGCUGGAGCCAUUCUCUGAUGACGGCGGAGUGGCUGAGCGACGACGACGGACUGGUGCCAUUGGCUAUUGUGGGAGAAGCAUACGAGAUAAGCUACAGGGAGGGAGGGGAAAAUGCGACGGAGGACUCGCCGGCCGUGAGGGUUUAUAUAGAAGGCCGGUAAGCAUUGGGAUUUUGGGGGAUUUCACCGAGUCGGGCAGGAAGCUUGCGCGGGAACCUGCGAGGUUGCGUGGGAACGGGCUCAUCGACGAUUCAUUGGCGCCAUCGUUUGGCCAAAACAACGCCCCUGUGCGCUGUGCAAGCUUGCGCUGUAAGCCGUCUGCGGCAGCGGGGUGACAAGACAUGCGAGAGGAGGACGAAAGGACACGUACACAUACGGUUAGUACAAAAAAAACAUUUGCGAUUUAAUUACCUACUAUACCCCCAUCCUGGUUUAUAAGUAGGAUUUAACUAAUAAAAUACGAAUGCAUGUCGCGAAAGAUUAUAUCGUUGGAUUCGUAUUUGAACAUAGUUUCUAGUUAUGCAAUUUUUGUAACAUGCAUUAACACUUUUUUGGUUAAAUUUAAGGUUAUAUACUAGCAAGCGUUUGCCCGCAACACACACGACUUAUUCCAUCACAAACAACUCGGAUGGAUCAAUCAUAUGCCACGUAUUGCACAUGCAACUCUAAUCUGAUUCAUGCUUAAUGUCUCCGACAUCGCUAGCACAGUUCGUCUUGUUUGCCACGUAUCACUGUGCCGGCCUCUGCUCGCGUCCCUCGGCAAGCUCUGCUCGCCGUUAGGCGCCGCAGCGUGCUGUGCUCGUUGUUAGGCGCCAUGGCAUGCUCUGCUCGUGUCCGUCGGCGCGCUCUGCUCGCAUCUGUCGGUGCGCUCAGCUUGUGGACAGCUUUUCCUUGCGUGUUCAACUCCUAUAUGCAUAUAUCUGGUUGCCCACCGUUGAGGCGACCGCGGAGCGCUCUUCUUGCGUCCCUCCGCGCGCGCUCUGCCAGCGGUUGGGUGUGCGCACGAUCACGUCGGGGGCCCCAUAUGCAUGAGGUUGCACCGCGCGCAUUGCCACGCGAUGGAGUUACGUGCGACACGAUGGAGUUACGCGCUGCAAAUUAGAACUCCCAAUAGGGCCUGCCGAUAUUCCAGGCCGUCCGGCUUCCCCUUUAAUUCCCGCGGCCAUUAUAACCUUAGUCUCUUCAAACUUUCGAUCGCGCCCCACAACACAACAUGCACACCCACGAUGACAUAUAGAGAGGGGAUGUCUAGCGGCACUCCAAUGGAGUUCGGCGAGCAUAAAGUGGAGACCCAUGCGAGGAGACGGAUCUCUCGGUGGUGUACAGCAUCGACCCGGCCAUGGUGGACGACUACAUGAACACCGUUGAGCUGUUGCUUGCUCGAGACAAGUACAAGGUGGUCGGCAUGGACCUCCAGUACACCACCAGCUGUCCCAACAUAGAUCAGAAGGUUGCCGUCGCCCAGUUGUGCGUGCGCCAUCAUGUCCUCAUCUACCACUACUGCAUGGCCAUAGAGCCCUGCGACCAUUUCACCAGGUUUGUCAACAGCACCGACUACAAGUUCGCCACGGUGGAAACCAUCGACGAUGUAAAAGCGCUCAGGGUUACGGGCUUGGCCUGCAAGAACUUUGUCGUAAUCCGUGAGCACUACAGGGUCUGGGGCAGCACGAAGGACUCCCUGGUUGAACUCGCCUCGGCCAUCAUCGACCCAUACUACGAAGAGAUGAAGCAGGAUGCCAACAGAACAUGCCCCGUAUCCUGGCACGGGGCCUGGAUGCGGCAACUGGAUGAACCUCACCUCAGGUUCACGGCCAAGAGCAUGUACACAUGCUACGAGAUGCACAUGCGGAUCGUUGACAUGAGGAAGUGCCUUGUUACAGAGAUCGAGGAAGUCGGAUCGAGCCACAACCAGGGCAAGCGUCACAAGAAGUAGAUGAUGAUCAGAUGAUCGUUUAUCCUAGUUAAUCAUGCAUGUAAUAUAUAGUUUACUUUGGUGUGUGGAAAUGUCAUGUGUGUAGUAGCCACCUAUGUAAUUAUGCACGUAAUAGUUUACUUUGGUGUGUGCAAAUGUCAUGGUUGUAGUAGCCACCUAUGUAAGUAGAUGUUUAAUUUGGUUAUGCAACCAUGUCCUUAUAAGUGUGUAUAUAUAUAUGUUGUUGUUCUGUAUGCAAUCCCAUCGCACAACACACACGUCUUAUUAGCAGCAAUCGUUUGUGUUAUUAUUGGCCUUCGCACACAUUUCUGAUUACAGACAUGUUUGCCGCGUAUCACACACAUCUUGUUAUAUUGAACCAUUUUUGUUCUCUUGUCUCAACGCAAACAGUUCAUCCGAGUGAACUGCAUGCCGUAUAUCGCACAAACCUUGAUCUGGCUGACCGUUUCUUUUGUGUUGCCUAAUCACAAACAGUUCAUCCGAGUGAACCGUAUGCUAUAUAUCGCACACACCUUCAUCUGGCUGCCCGUUUCUUUUAUUCCUCCUCAUCGCAAACAGUUAAUUGAACUAAACCGUAUGCCCUGCAUCGCACGUGCAACUAAAAUUUGAACUGUGUUUGAUGCAUCCGUCAUCGCAAACAUUUCACACCUUUUUUGACGGUUUUUUACACCACCGUUUGCGAUUAUUGCAUCGCACACAGUUUUGUCGAAGGGUCUCUGAUCGUAGUGUCACGUUAGCUGCAUCUUGCAGUAGUGUCUCUUGUUGUCAAGCAAAGUAGUGAUGGACCAAGCGGACCCACAGAUGGAAAGCAUCGAUAUCGCUGAUAACCGCGUGAGUGGGUGCAAGAGGACAACCACCAUCACUUUGCAUGUGGGCCAAACAUAUGUUGAAUACCCAAAAUGCACAACUUUGAUGUGGCACAUGCCUCGAAAACCAUUAAGUCCCCACACAUAGCGAGUUUCAUGAAGCGUACUACAUAUGCUGGUCCCCUUCCCCCUCUUUGACGCAUACUAUAGUCUUCUACCGUAAUACAAACCAAAAAGAAUCCUCCUUGAUGGUGAAAUUAAUUAACCUCUCCCGAUGUAGGUCAAAGUGAUGCAUGCAUCGACGACGACCUCACGGGCCCACAGAUGGAAGCAUCACACGUGAGUGUCCUAGGAUAACCACCGCCUGCAUGCAUGUGGUCCAAAGAGGUGUUGUGUGAUGUUUGAAUAGCCAAUGCACAACAUUGAUGUGGCACGUGCCCCGGAAACCGAAAAGUCCCGACACUGAGUGAGGUGUGUUCACGGACGCGUACAUAGUAUAUAUGCUAGUCCCCUCCCACCUCUUCGACGCGUACUGUAUACUCCCACCAUAACACAAAAAAAAGA
Molecule: long non-coding RNA, 40619 nt
Filed under: Triticum aestivum (bread wheat)
Lineage: Eukaryota; Viridiplantae; Streptophyta; Magnoliopsida; Poales; Poaceae
Description: long non-coding RNA (TAES_LNC023892)
Rfam family: MIR1120/MIR1122 microRNA precursor family (bases 9145-9230)
Source: RNAcentral